Molecule: long non-coding RNA, 519 nt
Organism: Platichthys flesus (European flounder)
Lineage: Eukaryota; Metazoa; Chordata; Actinopteri; Pleuronectiformes; Pleuronectidae
Exons: 4
Source: RefSeq, a predicted model, not a curated record
UCACUUUGAAACUUUGUAAACAAGUCUCACACGCUGCUUUAAAGCUCCUCGCGUGCGGAAAGUCCGAGAAAUGACGCAGGCGAGCGACCCUCGGCUCCGAGAACAGACAAUCCAGAUGUGAAAUCAAAACCCAGUAUUCAUGAAGACACAGAGGAAUAAUAUGAUGGACAGCAGAAGGAUAAGCGGCACCAACAAGCCCCCCUCCCCUCUUGGCACACCUGGGUGUCAUGAUAAACAUGGCGGAAAUAAGCGAAGAAGAAGAUCUGAGCCCACGGGUGAGCCUUCAAUGAGCCGGAUCCCGGGGUUAUGCUCAGGAGCCUCAGAAGGUGAUCUCAGACGUGAGGUUAGAGGAAAGGACCCUGACUUGAUGAUUCUCUGUUGUGCUCCAUUUGCAAGACCUGUUUUUGACUUGAUUAAGAUUUUUUUUUAAAUAUGCUGCUAUGCCACAUAUGAUGAUGAUAUGAUUAUCUUUAAUAUAUAUUAUAACAUUUAAAUAAAAUGUACAAGUCAACAUAAAUU